RNAcentral lists this long non-coding RNA (8549 nucleotides) under Medicago truncatula (barrel medic). RNAcentral's name for it is "long non-coding RNA (MTRU_LNC000957)". Lineage: Eukaryota; Viridiplantae; Streptophyta; Magnoliopsida; Fabales; Fabaceae. The record is from RNAcentral.
CUUAACCUACUUAUUUUCUCUUAUUUCCAAAUCUACCCCCAAAGUCUCAAUAUUCUAUUCUAAUAUAUAUGUAUAAUAAAAUACUUCUAUAACAAAUAACAAAUAUAUCUCUAUAACAAAUAUAUUUAUGUACCAGAUAACAUAUAUAUUUCUUCACCAAAUUAGAUAUAUAUUUCUACACCAAAUAACAUAUAUAUUAUACUAAUAAAUACCAACAUAUAACAUAACAAAAUAUCACUCAUCAAAAUAAAUCGACUAAAUUAUAAAAAGACAUCUAAAUUCAAUAAAAUAAAUAAAUAUUAAAAUAGGGCGUUACAAACGUGCUUUCUAUCAUCGAUGAACCAGAGCAAAAUUACCAUUAGAUUCAAUCAAUGGUCAUGAUUUAUACAAAAUAAAAAUAAGAACAUUUAAGAAUUGCCUCGCACAAUCUUGCCCCUAUUAAACUUUUUUAUUUUUGGUAUUCAUCAUCUUCAACCUCCAUUCCAAUUUUUUCGUAAUAAAAAAAAAAAAAAAAACUCCAUUUCAAUUUAGGAGCAAUGCUACAAAAGAGAAUUUGCACAAAAAAUUGAGUGUGUCUUCAAAAGUUUACGGGGUUUGCUAAAAAUCUAGUUUAUGGGUUCAAUUGGAGGUGGUGACUAAUGAAAUUGGAGGUUUAACUCAUCCUUAAAAACCAGUUCAUAAGGUGAGUCACGCCCAGCACUCUUUGGGCUUACGUGAAUCGGUAGGUAUUUGGGCUUACGUGAAUCGAUAGGUAACUCUUGAAUUCGACAGGUUCUGAUACCAUAAUGAAAUUGGAGGCCUAACUCAUCCUUAAAAACUAAUUCAUAAGGUGAGAAUUGUCUCCUCUAUAUUAACUCUUAUCAAGAGUCUUAUCUUUUCGAUGUGGAACAUGAGUUUUUUUCAAUAAUGACCUUUAAAGUUUAAACACGCGGCAUCUUUGAAUUCUACAUAGAAAAAAAAAAUAGAAUUAUAGCGUGUUAUGUUUGUUUCUCUAGAGCAUGAGACAUUUCAUUGUUCAGUUUAUGUUGUCAUGGAAAGGCAUAUGAGUGAUGGGUGUACAUCAUCGAUCGGUGGUUUGAUUCUCGUGAAUAGAACAAAAAAAAUCUGAGCUCAAUGGUACAAAUCCUUACGAUGAAAGGUGAGAUAUAGUAGGAUUGUGUGUGGAUAGUUGUAAAUGUUAUCUUUUUUAAUUCUAGUAGAUCAAAAUUGUUAAUCUCAUUUCAUGGUAAAAAUUAAAUAGUCCAUUUGUGAGGGACUCAAUAGCUCCUUCACCUUAGACGUCACCCUUAAUUAAUAAGAAACUAACGGCGAGGGACUCAACUCCCUCACCUUAGACGUCACCAUUGAUUAAUAAGAAACUAACGAUUGAAGUAAAUAAACGAGAAAGAAACUCAAACUUCUUUCUAAACUUUCUUUCUCUUUCGUUCAUCAAGGAGGGGUGGUUUUUGACCUAGAAUCACCCCUCUACAUCUUUUUUCCCAUUUUCUUUCAAUCUAAAUAAGUGGUUUUCACAUACAAGUGUUUCCUUUUGUGUUUUUUGUGAUUUUGUCGUCUAAGUACAACGCUGUGUUGGUCGUCGUCUUGUGCGGCGUUUGAUUUCACGUCUUGUCGCGGCGUUCGUUUAGUUUCUAUUGAAAGAUUGACAUCGGUCAAUUAUAAAUCCAAUCAAUGAUUUGGGUGUGAAUGUUGCCGAUCUAGAAACAUGAGUAUUUCGGUGACUUAGAUUUAAUCAUAUUAGUUGUAGCAUUUUGUCAUUUUAUGUUAUUAACUUGGGUGCUGUGAGUUUGUUCGCAGUUUUACCCUUUACGUUUCUAGCGAUUUUUGUAUCUGAUGUACUCUAUCAAUCUGAAUGAAUGAAUAUCGUUUUGUUUUUAUUAAAAAAAAAAAAUAAAAAAAAAACUAACGGUUAAAAGUUUGCUCUACAUGCCUACAAUGAUAAUAAAUAGAGAUAAUUUACUACAACUUUUAAAACAAUGAUGCUCAUUUAUAGGAACUUUACCAUAAAUAAGUCUCCAAAGAAAAAAUGAUUUGGAUUGAGGAAUUGAAGGUUUCCAAAUAAGCUAUGUCCAUGAUUGAUCAUAUGCAGAAACUUGACAAAAACUAUCAGCAUCCUAAACUGAAAGAGAACCUGAUGAAGAACCCUUCUAAGCAAGAUAUUCAGUGGAAAACUAUACCCCGAUAUUUAUCAAAUUUCAUAUUUCACCAAUUCAACUCUCUCUAUCAAUAGUAUAUAUAUAAAGUAAGAUUUUUUAUGACACGUGUCACUUCCACGUUUAUUCGCAAUAUUUUUAUUUUUUUUCUAAUUUUUCAAAACCAAUAUUUAAUUUGGCAUAAAUAUCUCAACAAACUUUUGAUCUUAUCUAUUAAAUAUUUUACUUAACUAUUUAUUGAAUUCCUAAUAUUUUAUGUAAUAGAAAUAUCUCAACAAAAUUACAUACGAUACCCUUCAAUUAAAAAUCAUCAAUCAAUCAAUAGUAUAUAUAGUAAGGUUUCUUAUGCCACGUGUCACUUUCAUGUUUAUUCGCAAUAUUUUUAUUAUUUUUAUAUUUUUUAAAAUCAAUAUUUAAUUUUGUAAAAAAAAAAUCAAUAUUUAAUUUGGCAUAAAUAUUUCAACAAAAUUUUAACCUUAGGGAUGGCAAUGGGUACCCUAUCCCAAUGGAUAGGGUACUAUAGUACCCUAUCCAUUGGGUACUCAUUGCCAUAAAUGUAUUGGUCUAUUCUCCACUAUCAUAAAUAUAAAGUGAAAUAUAUUGAAUUGGAAAUGAUGAAAGUAGUAUUAAUUAGAGUUAUAAUUGAAAAAAAAAGUAAUUAAUAAUUGUAUUGAAAAGUUAAAUGCAUCAAGAUUUUUGAGACAAUAUUUUUUACAAAUAACUUAGUUAUUAUGGGACGGAGGGAGUAACACUUUAACAUGACAAUGAAAAGUAAAUUUAAGAAUUAAAAUGCAAGAAAUGAAGAGAAUGUUUCUCUAACACAAAACUAUUUUUUUUUUCUCUUUCACUUAUACACUUUUUUAAUGUGUAAAAUAAAAAAUAAAAAAAACUUAUGUAUAAUGAGACGGAGGGAGUAGUUAGUAAGAACAAAGUCGUCAAGGAACCAAUUAACUCUUGAUUUCACUUCCCAAAAACGUCUUGAUAGUGCUAUACUCCCUCCGUCCCAAAUUAUAAGCAAAAAAACAAAAAUCACACUUAUUAAGAAAACUAAAACAUAAAAAUUUGGAGUAUAGUUUUUUGUGUUUUCGUUGGAAAAAGUUUUAUAGGAAGAUGUAAAAACAAUUUUCAUUGGCUAUUGAUUAUGGAAAAAAUGAAAGAAAGAGAAAAUUGAAUGUAAUUUGCAUUUAAUUUUAUGAGAAUAACAAAAAAAAAUCUUGGAAAAGAUUAAAAUUUGUCUUUUUUCCUUAUAUUUUGGGACAAAGAAAAUGAAUUUCUUUUGCUUAUAUUAUGGAACGGAGGGAGUACUUGGUUAAGCUGGAUUGAGCAUUCAAUUCUAAUUUAAGGGCCUUUAAUUUACCUUAAAGAAUAAACAUAGGACAACCAACCACAUAAUUAUUUAUACCAAACAUUUUCCACCACGUGGGUGAUAUCUGGAAGAUGAGAGUCCAUUUAAGUGAGUCAAUGUGACGAAAAAAAAGAUAAAAUGGCAAUUUUAGGAUCGUAAAUUUCUGAAAAUAAUGGAAGUAGUAAUUCUUUUAACGUUUUCAUUGUUUUAAAAAAAUUAUCCAAUCAUAUUUUAUAUGCAAUUUUUGUUUUUUAGAUUAAUUAAACAAUAAAUUUUGUUAACCAGUGUCCUAAGGGUGAUGAUUAAGGAAUUCAAAUGUAAAAGUUUUGUCUUGUAAUUGUAGGAUGUUACAUUUGAUCAAGUAAUGAUUAUACUACUUUUUAUUAAAAACUUACUUGAUUUAGUUGUUUAACCAGUGUGAACACUAGUUAACAUUCUCCUUAAAUAAUUGAUGUUUCUGAAAUAUAAUAUAUAUAUAUAUAUAUAUAUAGCUCAGAUACAUCACUUAUUUAAUGAAGAGUUUUUUUUUUUUCCUUCUCUUAAUUAACGAAUAAAACUAACACUUAUAUAUCUACCAAAAAAAAAAAAAAACUAACACUUAUAUAAUAUAGUUCGGAUACAAUAUAUUUAUAUAAUAUAAUCCGGAUACAUCACUUAUAUAAUCAACAUUGCUAUUUACCGCGACAAGUUUUGUCCCGAAUGCAUCAAGAAUGAAAAUAAGCCAAUUAAAAACAGCUGUUAGUGGAAAUCAUGGGAGGUGGGGGAGAAAAAGAUGGAAAUCAUAAACUAAUGGAUGGAUGGCAUACAUGCCACAUGUGUCUGGAAAAUCUCGGGACAGUUUUAUUUCGUGUGAAAUAGCAUUUUUCCUUAUAUAAUAUAGUCCAGGUACAAGGCAACUAUCACCGGAUGAGGUUUUAUCUUUUUAUUAAUGAAUAAAACUUUUUUUAAGAAGCUAAAUGCAAAAUAUAUUAAAAACCAAAUUAGUUAAGCACAAGAUGUGCCAAACGAAAAACUGUGUAUAACGUCAAAGUAACAAACUCGAUAAAGAAAGAAACCACAAAUAAUAAAAAUCAAAAGCGAAAUUCAGUUUAUGUGUCUUUAGCCACCACAAAAAAUGAAAUUUAAUAUUGUCGAGAAGUUGAUCCUUAGAAGACACGUUGUUAUUGAAAUUUCUCGAGUUUCUCUCCUUCCAAAUUCUCUCCUUCGAAAUAACUCAAAGACAUGUCAGCACACCACUUUAAAACAAGAGCUAAUGUCCUUCCUGAAAGCAUGCGCGCCAAAAAAUUGUUGUGCGUGACAACCAAUAUUUGAUGGAACGACGGUAGUUUUACCCUACCAGAUCAACAAACACCCUACCAGAUCAACAAACAGGGAAAAUAAAUAAAAAAUAUUUUUGCAAAGUAAUUAAACGGAUUCUAAUGUUUAAUAGGAACCGAUCGAGGACAACAUAGAAAUCAUGCUGGAAUUUGAAGAAGAAAUACAAACCUAAUUAAAGAGAGGGGCUAAGUAUUUCCAAGCUGGAACUUGAAAAAGAAAAACCAUGCUCUAAUUAAGUAACUAAGUAAGGUAGUACAUUACAACAAUUGAGAUAAGUACGACACAUUAUGAUGAUUAUGACUUAUGAGCUGUUAAAUGAUGUUGUAGGAUUACUUUUUUCUUGUCAAAAAUAAAUAAAUGAUGUUGUAGGAGAAACAUUAUUAUAAACAUUAUUAUAACUUACAAGGACUAAUGUUUAAAAAAAAAAACUUACAAGGACUAAUAAUGAGACAGAACGAAAGUGUACGUGAGUGUAGGAGACACGUUAUUAUAACAUUUUAUAAAUAUUUAAACGUUGAUAAUAAUUUUGUCGAUCUAUAAACCACUACCAAUUCCUAGUUAAAUAUAUAAUAAUUUUUAUUAUAUUUGUUAGUUGAUGGUAAAAGAUGAAUAUAAUUUGUUACUAUAUUUUUUUUUGACAAAAUAAUUUGUUGCUAUUUAAAAUUCAUAAAUAUAGUCUAUACAUAUAAUUUUAAUAAAAAUAAAAAUUCACCCAAAAAAAAAUCAAAAAUUUCAUAAAAAAAUAAAUAUUGUUUAUAAUUCACGAGCGUUGUCGCAGUACAAAAAUGGAUAGAUGGAUACCCAGUACUAGUAAUUAAUGAAGUUAAUUGGUAAAAUUUCACUCUUACUGGUGGUUGAUGGUAGGGGUGUUUACGGUGCGGUUUGGUUCGGUUUUGAGAGAAAAAGUCAUCCAAACCGCAAGAUAAAAAAACAUGCGGUUUGUGUAACACCCACAGCUGACGAGGGCAGGGGAGUGGUCACCGGUGCACAAGGCACGCCAAUGAGCGGCUCCCGACAGCUUCUAGAGGAACCGAAUCACAUCUGAAUGAGAGGGAUCCUGAGGCCGUGUAGGUGUGGGACUACAUGAAUGAAGGAAUGCUUAUAAGAAUUGUUUGGUAAUACCUAUAUCAACAAGGUGCAUCUUCUUUUUGGUACCCUAUUCCAUAAGAACUCCACAGUUAAGCGUGCUUGACUUGGAGUAGUCUUUGGAUGGGUGACCUACCGGGAUUCCCGAUAAGCAUGCGAGUGAGGACAAAACACGCUGAAAAGACUCGUGUUGGUUUGUAGGGUCAGUCGACAAUGCUUAAAGUCGUCUGGGAUGUUACAGUUUGGUUUGGUUCGGUUGGCUUUAAAAUAAAAUCCGAACCAAACCAAACCAAUAUGGUUUGGGUUGUAUCGGUUGGUGCGGUUUUUUUCGUGACGAUACGAUUUUUUGUUUCCAACAUUAAAAUCAAGAUAAAAAGCUGAAACACAAUAUAUUUUCAACAAUGUUUUAAAUUUCAUCAAACAUUACAAUUUCAUUUUCAUUACAAUGUUUCCAACAACAUAAACCAAAUUAAAAACGCGGACAAAAAGUAAUCUUAUUUUGUAAGAAAUGCAAAAGACUGAGAUGUUCUCAUUCUCUAAAAGUUAAGUAGCACAUAAAUACAUUUUUAAAUAAAAAGCAAAUAAUGAACUUAACAAGAGAAAAAAAAUAUGACAUUUUAUAAAAGUUUUCAUUGAGUUUCUAUGAGUAUUGGUCUUGAUGACAUAUGUUUAAUUAACAUUUUUCUUAUGUUAUGGUUUGGUUUGGUUUUGUAUCUAUUUGACAGUCUCUUUGUACUUUGAGCGACCUCUUUAGUACGCCUUAUGCUAAAGAGGUGUCUCUCUUAUUGUGAAUAUAUAUCAUUUUACCUUCUUAAAAAAAAGUUAAUUGGUAAAAAAAAAAAAAAUUUCUCUCUUGAUUUAUAUGAAAUGACAUUUUUUUUUGGAACAUGGAGGGUAUUGAUUUUUACACCUUUUCAAAAGCCACUCAAGGAUGAAUAUAGAUUUUUCAUGCAUCAAACACAAGAAUCAUUAGCAUAACAUGCUUUGGAAAACACACACAUAUACUUAAAUUAAUGGUUGGAGUAUCAAAUUUAAAAAUAUUGUUGUCAAUACAUACCCCGUCAAUCCUCCUUUUUUACCCAAUAAACAUUGAAAUGUUGCUUCUUUCGUUAAGCAUAAAAACAUCAAAGUCUAGCAAAAUGUUGUUUUUGCGAUGACACAUUUCAUAUAGUUUAAAGGAUGCAUGAUUCGAUUACAAAAACAAAAUACUAAUAAUUCUAGCACAAAGUUUAAAGCUAAGAUUAUAAAGCUUCAUAGCAUGUGGAUAUUCAUUUAGAAAUAUAGGAUUAGGAUUGCCCCUUUCAUCACGGGUCUAAUAGCACCACUUGUCACUACAUGUUAAAAAUGUCCUCUAGUACAACACCGCUUUUUACUUGAUUCCCCUUGUCCAUGAAAAAAUCAAACAAUAUUUGGACACAAAAAUUUGCCCCCACUUUCCUUUUUCUUCUGCCCUAGUUUGUUUGAAAACUCAUAUUGAUCAAAUUUGGCUAUGAAUUCAAACAAAAAAUUCACUCUGCCCAUUGCAUGUGUGGGACCCACAUAUAAAUCCAUGAAGGAUUUCAAUGUCCAUCCAAGUCAAUGAUUCAACAUAUAACAUUGAAUAAUUUAAUUCCAAUUUGCAGUAUUAUGAUUUAGAUUGAUUGCUGCAAUACGGUCCGUGAAUGUAACUCACGAGAAAGAGGUAUCAAGGUAUUUUAUUUUAUUUUUAACAAAUAAAAUUUCAAGGUCUUGUUCACCAUAUAAACCUCCUCACUCUCACUCAAUUCUCUUAAGUGUAUGACUUCAUAGUAAACUACACUACUUUCUUUAAAACAUGGCUAACUAUGCUAUAGCCAAUGUUUUGAUCCUUCUCUUGAACUUGAGUACCUUACUCAAUGUUCUUGCUUGCCCUUAUUGUCCUUACCCAAGCCCUAAACCACCUUCACACCACCCUCCUAUUGUUAAGCCACCAGUUCACAAACCACCAAAGCAUUCUCCUACUCCUAAACCACCAGUUCAUAAACCACCAAGAUAUCCUCCUAAACCAUCACCUUGUCCACCCCCAUCAUCAACACCAAAACCACCUCAUCAUCCCAAACCCCCAGCAGUACACCCACCACAUGUUCCAAAACCACAUCCACCUUAUGUUCCAAAACCACCAAUUGUUAAACCUCCAAUAGUACAUCCACCUUACGUACCAAAACCCCCAGUUGUGAAACCACCACCAUAUGUCCCUAAACCACCUGUUGUGAGACCACCCUAUGUUCCUAAACCACCAGUUGUACCUGUAACACCACCUUAUGUUCCUAAGCCACCAAUUGUUUUCCCACCACAUGUUCCUCUACCUCCAGUUGUACCAUCACCACCACCUUAUGUACCAACACCUCCAAUUGUGAAACCACCAAUUGUUUUUCCACCACAUGUUCCUCUACCUCCAGUUGUGCCUGUAACACCACCUUAUGUGCAACCACCACCUAUUGUAACUCCACCAACACCAACACCUCCAAUUGUGACACCACCAACACCACCUAGUGAAACACCUUGUCCUCCACCACCACUUGUACCUUAUCCACCACCACCAGCACAACAAACAUGUUCCAUUGAUGCUUUGAAGUUGGGUGCAUGUGUUGAUGUGCUUGGUGGACUCAUACAUAUUGGUAUAGGUGGAAGUG